GGCGGGAUAGCUCAGUUGGCUAGAGCACACGGUUCAUACCCGGGGUGUCGCUGGUUCAAACCCAAUUCCCGCUACUA
RNAcentral lists this transfer RNA (77 nucleotides) under [Ruminococcus] lactaris. RNAcentral describes it as "Ruminococcus lactaris tRNA-Met". It matches the Rfam family "tRNA". From Rfam's summary of the family: Transfer RNA (tRNA) molecules are approximately 80 nucleotides in length. Their secondary structure includes four short double-helical elements and three loops (D, anti-codon, and T loops). Lineage: Bacteria; Bacillati; Bacillota; Clostridia; Lachnospirales; Lachnospiraceae. The record is from RNAcentral.